Molecule: ribosomal RNA, 497 nt
Filed under: uncultured bacterium
Lineage: Bacteria
Description: partial 16S ribosomal RNA
Rfam family: Bacterial small subunit ribosomal RNA
Source: RNAcentral
GAUGAACGCUGGCGGCGUGCCUAAUACAUGCAAGUCGAGCGAACAGACGAGGAGCUUGCUCCUCUGACGUUAGCGGCGGACGGGUGAGUAACACGUGGAUAACCUACCUAUAAGACUGGGAUAACUUCGGGAAACCGGAGCUAAUACCGGAUAAUAUAUUGAACCGCAUGGUUCAAUAGUGAAAGACGGUUUUGCUGUCACUUAUAGAUGGAUCCGCGCCGCAUUAGCUAGUUGGUAAGGUAACGGCUUACCAAGGCGACGAUGCGUAGCCGACCCGAGAGGGUGAUCGGCCACACUGGAACUGAGACACGGUCCAGACUCCUACGGGAGGCAGCAGUAGGGAAUCUUCCGCAAUGGGCGAAAGCCUGACGGAGCAACGCCGCGUGAGUGAUGAAGGUCUUCGGAUCGUAAAACUCUGUUAUUAGGGAAGAGCAAAUGUGUAAGUAACUAUGCACGUCUUGACGGUACCUAAUCAGAAAGCCACGGCUAACUACGUG